RNAcentral lists this ribosomal RNA (406 nucleotides) under uncultured bacterium. RNAcentral's name for it is "partial 16S ribosomal RNA". It matches the Rfam family "Bacterial small subunit ribosomal RNA", at positions 30 to 526 of the family's 1533-position model. The record is from RNAcentral.
AUUGAACGCUGGCGGCAGGCCUAACACAUGCAAGUCGAACGAGUGGCGGACGGGUGCGUAAUGUCAGGGAAACUGCCUGAUGGAGGGGGAUAACUACUGGAAAAGGUAGCUAAUACCGCAUACCAUCGGAUGAGCCCAGAUGGGAUUAGCUAGUAGGUGGGGUAAAGGCUCACCUAGGCGACGAUCCCUAGCUGGACAGAGAGGAUGACCGGCCAAACUGGAAGUGAGACAGUGUCCAGACUCUUACGGGAGUCAGCAGUGGGGAAUAUUGCGCAAUGGGCGCAAUCCUGAUGCAGACAUGCCGCGUGUAUGAAUAGGGCCUUCGGGUUGAAAAGUACUUUCAGCGGGGAGGCGUUACCCGCAGAAGAAGCACCGGCUAACUCCGUGCCAGCCGCCGCGGUAAUAC